Molecule: long non-coding RNA, 852 nt
Organism: Apis mellifera (honey bee)
Lineage: Eukaryota; Metazoa; Arthropoda; Insecta; Hymenoptera; Apidae
Exons: 2
Source: RefSeq, a predicted model, not a curated record
CGAAUUUUAUUAUUUUCAUCUUUUCGUCGAUCGAGUUAAUCGGGAGUUUUUUUUUUCUUCUAAAUCAUAAUCUCUUCUCACUUUCGAUAUUACUUUCGAUAACCUAACCUCUCUUUCUCUCUCUCUCUCUCUCGAUUCGUAAAACGGUGAGUAAGUUUUCUUAAGUGGCGAAGAAGAAGGAUCGGCAACAAAGCGUAAUGUAACAAUAAAUAAUUAUAGGUGGUAAAAUUCACCGAAUAUAAUAUUCGAAAAUAUUAUCCUUAAAAGCGAAGAUCGAAUUUUAUUAUUUUCAUCUUUUCGUCGAUCGAGUUAAUCGGGAGUUUUUUUUUUCUUCUAAAUCAUAAUCUCUUCUCACUUUCGAUAUUACUUUCGAUAAUCUAACCUCUCUUUCUCUCUCUCUCUCUCGAUUCGUAAAACGGUGAGUAAGUUUUCUUAAGUGGCGAAGAAGAAGGAUCGGCAACAAAGCGUAAUGUAACAAUAAAUAAUUAUAGGUGGUAAAAUUGUCGGUGUGUUAAUAAUACGCGCGCGAUGUGACUGGUUGAUAUUACACGCAGAGAGUCGUGAAACUGCGUUUAACACGGUUCUUUGUCGUCUCCUGUCCCCCUCCCCCCCGUUAUCGCAUAAAUGAGCGCAUAAAAGAAGCGCGUUUAGAAGGCCAGGUGGACAAUAAUUUUUCGAGCCGACCAGUUUUUGCCAAGUUUAAAAACGAAAACUCCCAUCUUCUCCAAAGAUAUUAUCUUUAUUAUUCCAGUUUAAAAUUAAAAAUUAAUCGUGAUCGUUAUCCAUUUCGUCACGCGUUUUUAUCGAAGAAUUGACACGUUGUGAAUUCCAAGAGGAGAAAGAAUAUAUAUA